This 195-nucleotide long non-coding RNA is filed under the name Capra hircus (goat). Its description in RNAcentral is "lncRNA (ENSCHIG00000002723.1)". The record is from RNAcentral. Lineage: Eukaryota; Metazoa; Chordata; Mammalia; Artiodactyla; Bovidae.
UUAGACUGUCACCCCUCUUGGAGUUCUCCCUCUAGAAUCCUUUUGAGACAUUCCUUCUCUUGCCUAAAGUUGUGUCUUGGAUUGGAAAAUUUCCUAGAGAUGUUUACUGAUGUGGACAAAGAGAUUGCUGAGGAUGAUGAGAAGAGAAGGAUUGUAAGUCUCCAGGGCACUUGCAUUUGUCAUGAAAUAAUAUAA